AAAAGAAUGUCUCUACACGAAAGCAACAAACAACAAAACAUACAGACGCAACAGGAGUGAGGUGUUUUUCUUUUUUUUUUCCUUGUUUUCCUCCCUUUUGGCUUUUUGUUUUU
This 113-nucleotide non-coding RNA is filed under the name Platyophrya macrostoma. The record is from RNAcentral. Lineage: Eukaryota; Ciliophora; Colpodea; Cyrtolophosidida; Platyophryidae.